This 66-nucleotide transfer RNA is filed under the name Dipodomys ordii (Ord's kangaroo rat). It matches the Rfam family "tRNA". From Rfam's summary of the family: Transfer RNA (tRNA) molecules are approximately 80 nucleotides in length. Their secondary structure includes four short double-helical elements and three loops (D, anti-codon, and T loops). Lineage: Eukaryota; Metazoa; Chordata; Mammalia; Rodentia; Heteromyidae. The record is from Rfam by way of RNAcentral.
GGGAAGGUGGCUCAGUGGUAGAGAGCUUGCCUCACAUGCAUGAGGCAUGUGACCCUUUUCUUCCCU